GAGAAUUGUAUUUGUUUAGGGCCUUUUGGGGCAUUGAAAACAUAAUUGGGUAUGUUUGAUUGAGAUGUUGGAGCAUAGGUUUCAAUGGUAUUGAAGUGAGGGCAAUAUUGUUUUUGCUAAGAAGGGGAUCACCGAUCACGUGUUAGAGACGUGUUGUCAUGUUGAUGCUUGGGAUGUUGGAGCUUUAUUUGAUUAGCGGGAAUUUAUGUGUGUGGAAAAUUGCCCCAGGAAUUGCUGGUAAAUUGGUAAUAUAUUCAACUAUCAAGGAGGAAGGUUGCGGAGCUGGUAAUGGGAUUUUCACAGUGUGUGAUGGAUAUUGCAAGAGGGUAAACACAUUGUAUAGGGCUCUUGUGCAGUUCAGAGAAUGCUUUAUAAAGGGGUGAAAGGGUGAUGGAGAAUGCUCAAGCAGUUCACCUGUAUUGUUGUUCACAAUAUCCUAGUUAUGGAUUUUGACUGAUUGUUUAUUGAAAGAAGCUGCAGCUGUCAGACGUUCCCUUGAUCUCCUACUGAAAGGAUAUUUAAAGGGAAGCAAGUGAUUUGAAAUUUUUCUCCUGUCUUGUGGAGUUAAGAAAUCCCUUUUCUUGCAAGUGAAGUACAAUUGUUGUGCUAAAUUAAGGUAAGUGUAGAUAUAGUCACACGUAUGAUGUGUAUAUUUUAUAUUGUUGAUCGGGAAGAAAGAGCAAAGUGUAGUCGAAAUCAACAGCUUCUAUUUUGAGAAGAUGAAUCCUAUGAAGUUAGAAAGAGAAGAUUAGUGAUGAUGAUGUAUAUCAGUGAUGCUUUAAAAAGAAUGGGCAAUACUAACUGAAUGCUCGAGGAAGAGAAGGGAACAAGGUUAUGAGGCAUGACGAAUUUUUGAUGUUUGCCUUGUGCAUUGUAACUUAAAUUUUACUGUUAUGUUUUGUAACUAGUUAUGGAAGAAUAAAAUGUUCAUUACAUAAUUUGAAUUUUGAAAUUAAAUUAAGAAUUUUUUGUUCUUUUGGGCUUUUGACAAAUGAAUGAAAU
Chenopodium quinoa (quinoa) is the source of this 1002-nucleotide long non-coding RNA. RefSeq lists it as uncharacterized. Lineage: Eukaryota; Viridiplantae; Streptophyta; Magnoliopsida; Caryophyllales; Amaranthaceae. The transcript has 3 exons. The record is from RefSeq and is a predicted model, not a curated record.